Molecule: ribosomal RNA, 422 nt
Filed under: uncultured bacterium
Lineage: Bacteria
Description: bacterial SSU rRNA
Rfam family: Bacterial small subunit ribosomal RNA
Source: RNAcentral
UGCCAGCAGCCGCGGUAAGACGAAGGAUGCAAGCGUUAUCCGGAUUCAUUGGGUUUAAAGGGAGCGUAGGUGGCCUUAUAAGUCAGCGGUGAAAUCUCUGGGCUUAACCCAGAAAUUGCCAUUGAUACUGUAGGGCUUGAGUACAGUUGCUGUGGGCGGAAUAUGACAUGUAGUGGUGAAAUACAUAGAGAUGUCAUAGAACACCGAUUGCGAAGGCAGCUCACAAAACUGUAACUGACACUGAGGCUCGAAAGUGCGGGGAUCAAACAGGAUUAGAUACCCUGGUAGUCCGCACUGUAAACGAUGAUUACUCGCUGCUAGAGGGCAACUUUUAGUGGCUUAGCGAAAGCGAUAAGUAAUCCACCUGGGGAGUACGCCGGCAACGGUGAAACUCAAAGGAAUUGACGGGGGCCCGCACAAGC